CAUAUACAUUCAGAUAUAUAUGAAACUAAAUGUCAUUCCCACUACUCGACUACAUCAAACCCACAUAUUUUCUCCACUGUCUGUACUAGAGUGUUUGGCCGACCUUCCCAGACAUUCCCCAGCCAGACAGUGUGUGUGUGUGUAUCAGGAUGUAUUGACAGCUGUGUGUUGUGGGUUUGCUGGCUGUCUGGCUAACCCAACAGGCUUAGAGGCAGAACCCUGAUAUAACCCUGCUCCCAAACUGAUCUGCAGAUACAACCUAUUGUUUAUGGAGACAAAUAAACGCUUACACACAUCCAUAACACACAACCAACAACUGGUGGGAACAGAAAGGAAACAACCAAUAACAGGUGGGAACAGAAAGGAAACAACCAAUAACUGGUGGGAACAGAAAGGAAACAACCAAUAACUGGUGGGAACAGAAAGGAAACAACCAAUAACUGAUGGGAACAGAAAGGAAACAACCAAUAACUGGUGGGAACAGAAAGGAAACAACCAAUAACUGAUGGGAACAGAAAGGAAACAACCAAUAACUGAUGGGAACAGAAAGGAAACAACCAAUAACUGAUGGGAACAGAAAGGAAACAACCAAUAACUGAUGGGAACAGAAAGGAAACAACCAAUAACAGGUGGGAACAGAAAGGAAACAACCAAUAACAGGUGGGAACAGAAAGGAAACAACCAAUAACAGGUGGGAACAGAAAGAAAACAACCAAUAACUGAUGGGAACAGAAAGGAAACAACCAAUAACAGGUGGGAACAGAAAGGAAACAGUAAACAUUACAGAAGAGAAUAGAGGACAGAGAAGAUAAAUAGUGAUACAGGGAAUGCGGCCCAAAUGGAAACUAUUUCCUACAUUUAUAGGGCCCUUGUCUAAAGUAGUGCACUAUAUAGGGAAAUAUGCUAUUUUUAAAGUAAUGCACUAUAUAGGGAAUAAGGCUCUGGUCUAAAGUAGUGCACUAUAUAGGGAAUAGGGC
This 977-nucleotide long non-coding RNA is filed under the name Salmo salar (Atlantic salmon). Its description in RNAcentral is "lncRNA (ENSSSAG00000114746.1)". The record is from RNAcentral. Lineage: Eukaryota; Metazoa; Chordata; Actinopteri; Salmoniformes; Salmonidae.